Molecule: long non-coding RNA, 576 nt
Filed under: Androctonus crassicauda
Lineage: Eukaryota; Metazoa; Arthropoda; Arachnida; Scorpiones; Buthidae
Source: RNAcentral
UUGACUCUAAAAUGUGGCCAUCAGCUUAAUUCAAAACUAACCAAGUUUCUAACAAAUAUAAGCGAUUAUUUUUUAACACCACUUUUCAAUCUUUGGCUGACUGCUAUCUAAUGGUAAUUCAUUCUGACUCAAAUAUGAACUACUCACAUCUAUGAUAGAGCCAGUAAAACAUUAUAGUAGGUAAAUUGAUGCCUAUAUUGGAUCCACCAAAAAUUUUAUAGAAAUAUGGAAUCUGAAUUCCUUACUUCCAAAAAUUUAGAAUGGGGUUGAAUGGAUCCAACCUGGACACCUGUAAAAUCUAGAGGUAUGAAACCUGAAAUUAAAUAUAAAUAUUGCAUAGUGGAAAUACAACAUGCUUCCAUCCUGGCAACAACUUCGCCAUCCAAUCAAUUGGCAGCCAUUAUUGCAAAAUCAUUUAUGGUGGCCAUUGUAAGAACAUAUUAUUGUAAGUCAAACCAUCAUAAUUUAGGAACCCCCUUGCAAAUUCAAUAUUAUGAAAUUUGAAUUAAAUCAUGUUUUGUUUUGAAUAAUUGAUUGAUUAAAGUUUUUAUUUUUAUUUUAAAAUAUGAAUUACAA